GCCUCUGUAGCUCAGUUGGUAGAGCAAUGGACUGAAAAUCCAUGUGUCGUUGGUUCGAUUCCGACCGGAGGCACCA
RNAcentral lists this transfer RNA (76 nucleotides) under Oscillospiraceae bacterium. RNAcentral's name for it is "tRNA-Phe". It matches the Rfam family "tRNA". From Rfam's summary of the family: Transfer RNA (tRNA) molecules are approximately 80 nucleotides in length. Their secondary structure includes four short double-helical elements and three loops (D, anti-codon, and T loops). Further hydrogen bonds mediate the characteristic L-shaped molecular structure. tRNAs have two regions of fundamental functional importance: the anti-codon, which is responsible for specific mRNA codon recognition, and the 3' end, to which the tRNAs corresponding amino acid is attached (by aminoacyl-tRNA synthetases). tRNAs cope with the degeneracy of the genetic code in two manners: having more than one tRNA (with a specific anti-codon) for a particular amino acid; and 'wobble' base-pairing, i.e. permitting non-standard base-pairing at the 3rd anti-codon position. Lineage: Bacteria; Bacillati; Bacillota; Clostridia; Eubacteriales; Oscillospiraceae. The record is from RNAcentral.